GACGAACGCUGGCGGCGUGCUUAACACAUGCAAGUCGAGCGGAGCGGCGAACGGGUGAGUAACGCGUGAGUAACUGCCCCCCUCUCUGGGAUAACAGUUGGAAACGGCUGCUAAUACCGGAUAGUGGGGGAUGACUCGCGUCCUAUCAGCUUGUUGGUGGGGUAGUGGCCCACCAAGGCGACGACGGGUAGCCGGCCUGGGAGGGCGACCAGCCACAUUGGGCUGAGAUACGGGACACACACGGACGGGACGCAGCCGUGGGGAAUAUUGCACAAUGGGGGAGACCCUGAUGCGGCAACGCGCGGGCGGGAUGACGGCCUUCGGGUUGUAAACCGCUUUCGGCCAUGACGCGGUAGUGGCAGAAGAAGCACCGGCUAACUACGUGCCAGCAGCCGCGGUAAUAC
This 404-nucleotide ribosomal RNA is filed under the name uncultured bacterium. RNAcentral's name for it is "partial 16S ribosomal RNA". It matches the Rfam family "Bacterial small subunit ribosomal RNA", at positions 28 to 526 of the family's 1533-position model. The record is from RNAcentral.